UACAGAGGUCCCAAGCGUUGUUCGGAUUCACUGGGCGUAAAGGGUGCGUAGGUGGUGGAUUAAGUCGGGUGUGAAAUCUCCGGGCUCAACCCGGAGGGUGCGCCCGAAACUGAUCUGCUCGAGGGUGGGAGGGGAGACUGGAAUUCUCGGUGUAGCAGUGAAAUGCGUAGAUAUCGAGAGGAACACCGGUGGCGAAGGCGAGUCUCUGGACCACUCCUGACACUGAGGCACGAAAGCCGGGGGAGCAAACAGG
RNAcentral lists this ribosomal RNA (253 nucleotides) under uncultured bacterium. RNAcentral describes it as "partial 16S ribosomal RNA". It matches the Rfam family "Bacterial small subunit ribosomal RNA", at positions 524 to 776 of the family's 1533-position model. The record is from RNAcentral.